This 383-nucleotide ribosomal RNA is filed under the name uncultured eukaryote. RNAcentral describes it as "partial 18S ribosomal RNA". It matches the Rfam family "Eukaryotic small subunit ribosomal RNA", at positions 592 to 976 of the family's 1831-position model. The record is from RNAcentral.
CAAUAGCGUAUAUUAAAGUUGUUGCAGUUAAAAAGCUCGUAGUUGGAUUUCUGGUAGGAGUGACCGUGCCAGACUUGAUUGUCUGUGUAUUGUGUUGUCUCCAGCCAUCCUUGUGGAGAACUUUUCUUGCAUUAAUUUGUAGGGAUUGGGACCCGCAUCGUUUACUGUGAAAAAAUUAGAGUGUUUAAAGCAGGCAAUCGCUUGAAUACAUUAGCAUGGAAUAAUAAGAUAGGACUUUGGUACUAUUUUGUUGGUUUGUAUACCAAAUUAGUGAUCAACAGGAACAGUUUGAGGAUAUUCGUAUGAACAUGUCAGAGGUGAAAUUCUUGGAUUUUGAUCAGACGAACUACUGCGAAAGCAUUUAUCAAGGAUGUUUUCAUUAA